RNAcentral lists this small nucleolar RNA (107 nucleotides) under Gossypium arboreum. Its description in RNAcentral is "Plant small nucleolar RNA R71". It matches the Rfam family "Plant small nucleolar RNA R71". From Rfam's summary of the family: R71 is a member of the C/D box family of snoRNAs containing the C (UGAUGA) and D (CUGA) box motifs. Multiple nearly identical copies of this snoRNA have been identified in Arabidopsis, and it is thought to function as a 2'-O-ribose methylation guide for 18S ribosomal RNA. The record is from Rfam by way of RNAcentral. Lineage: Eukaryota; Viridiplantae; Streptophyta; Magnoliopsida; Malvales; Malvaceae.
AGCCCAUGAUGAGGGUACCUUCUCAAUAGAUCCUUAUACCUCUCCCAUCCAUCAUAUAGGGUCUCUAAGUCCAUUUGCACAAAGGAAGAGAUAUCAUUCCUCAAAUU